GGGUGUGUGGCGCAACCGGAUCAGCGCGACAGGCUUUUAAUCUGUAGGUUGAGGGUUCGAGUCCCUCCGCACCCACCA
RNAcentral lists this transfer RNA (78 nucleotides) under Olavius algarvensis Delta 1 endosymbiont. RNAcentral's name for it is "tRNA-Lys-TTT". It matches the Rfam family "tRNA". From Rfam's summary of the family: Transfer RNA (tRNA) molecules are approximately 80 nucleotides in length. Their secondary structure includes four short double-helical elements and three loops (D, anti-codon, and T loops). The record is from RNAcentral. Lineage: Bacteria; Deltaproteobacteria.